RNAcentral lists this ribosomal RNA (1939 nucleotides) under Triticum aestivum (bread wheat). RNAcentral describes it as "partial small subunit ribosomal RNA". The record is from RNAcentral. Lineage: Eukaryota; Viridiplantae; Streptophyta; Magnoliopsida; Poales; Poaceae.
CAUCUAACGCACCACAUGGUCUUGUAUCAUCGUAUCACCCUAUGCACGGUAUCACUGGAUAUUUUCCCCAGCGCUGGAAGCGCCACUCGAUCUCAAUCACACAGGAUCGCAAGUAACCAAGACGAACUUUGCUACUAUAUCUGACAGGCUUGCUAGUACUGUACUACUCCCUCCGUCCCAUAAAGUAACACGUUUUUCGACUCUACAGAGUACUUUCUUAUUCUUCCGCUGUCUUCUGGAAUGGUAAUUUUUUUAAGUUUCUGCCGCUUGAGACUGAAAUCGGAUUUAAGAAAUUUCCGGUGCUGGGAGAAGGGUGAUAUGAUAAAAUAAGAAGGGCACUUCCGUGGUUCAUCUCCUCACCUCCACCAAACCUUAUCUCGCUGCCUGCACCGACGACUUGGAGCGGCCGCGCUCCGUGAUCCAAGCACCCGAAGCGCCGGCGCAGCUCCCCUCGAUGGCCGGCGACGAGCCCCCAACGACGGAGGCGUGCCAGGACCUGGUCGAGAUCCUGGACGAGGGAUCGGGCCGGCUGGACAUGGGCCGGUACGUGGACCACGUCCGCGACCUCUCGGCGGGCGCCAUCGCCACCUUCGAGGGCACCACGCGGGACCACUUCGACGGGAGGCGCGUGGUGGAGCUCCGCUACGAGGCGUACGGGGCCAUGGCGCGGCGCCGGCUGGAGGCCAUCCUCCGCGAGGCCCGCGCCGCGCACGCGCUGUGCCGGCUGGCCGUGGCGCACCGCCUCGGGACGGUCCCCGCCGGCGAGGCCAGCGUGUUCGUGGCGACCUCGGCCGUGCACCGCGCCGACGCCAUGGAGGCGUGCCGCUACGUGAUCGACGAGAUCAAGGCCUCCGUGCCCAUCUGGAAGAAGGAGGUGUACGACGACGGCGAGGUGUGGAAGGAGAACCGCGAGUUCCUCGACCGCACCGACGCCGAGAAGAAGGGCAAGCCGGCCGGCGGCGGCGGAUGCUGCGGCAGCAAGGUGAGGGUGAGCUGAUGAUGGCAGCCGCCGGAUCGCGAUCACGUGAACGUGGUUUUUUUCCCCCUUGUGUUACGAGAGAUUUUAGAGGAAGAGAAAGGUGAAGUUCGGAUACAGUAAUAUCCUCACAUUGUGUUACACUGCUACUAAAUGCAAAUCGUGUCAGAGAAACAAUGUAUGAAGUUCGAAUACAUAUCACGUUGCAGCAAAUUAUGUGGUGUGGCAAGUAGUAUGAAUUUUACUCCUGAUAUACUCAUUUUUGUGUAGAGAAACUCAGAGCAUGCAUCAGAACAGAGCCGAUAUGCUGCUGCAUAGCAAUCUAAGUUGUUGUAAGCAGGGUCAUCAAACCAACAUAAAGACUGAUGCCUCGUCACACUGACUGAAAAUUUGGCGCCCGCCAGUCCCUCUCAGAUUGUGAUCAACAUAGACCUUGACAGAUUCCUUGGCCAAUUGAUAGCAAUCUUCAUAGACUGCUACCAUCGGACACCAAGAAUGUCCCCGUCUCAUCAUUCGGAUCACCUAAGCAAUCUCAGCCGUCGACCAGCCUACUGUGCGCCCCGUGGAUAGAGCGAGAUUAACAUAGGAUCAGAACAGAUCAGGGGGAUGUUGCCUCGUCUGAAGAACAGAAACCAGUGGGAAUGUUCUACACAGUUACAUUGCCUUAGGCUUGUUCGGUUAAACUCUCUCGGAGAGGAUUGAAGAGGUUUGGAGGGGAUUGAGAGGGAAUCUGACUUGUAGAGGACUUAAUCCUCUCCAAUCCACUCGAAUCAGUUUACAUACAAGUGGGGUACUCGGGCGGCCCGAGGAGGAACGGCCCCCGCGUCGUCCGCGUGGGCGACUCGGGCGGCGUCCAGAUCCGAUAAUCCCGGCAGCCUCGAUUCGCGCACCCUCCCCUCGCCGCCGCCGGCCAGGACCGCCGGGCUUUCCCGCACGGCCAACGGCGGCGGGGCUCCAUCCCUC